CUACGGUGGCAGCAGUGGGGAAUAUUGGACAAUGGGCGAAAGCCUGAUCCAGCCAUGCCGCGUGUGUGAAGAAGGCCUUCGGGUUGUAAAGCACUUUCAGUGGGGAAGAAAGCCUUGGGGCUAAUACCCUCGAGGAAGGACAUCACCCACAGAAGAAGCACCGGCUAACUCCGUGCCAGCAGCCGCGGUAAUACGGAGGGUGCGAGCGUUAAUCGGAAUUACUGGGCGUAAAGCGCGCGUAGGCGGUCUGAUAAGCCGGUUGUGAAAGCCCCGGGCUCAACCUGGGAACGGCAUCCGGAACUGUCAGGCUAGAGUGCAGGAGAGGAAGGUAGAAUUCCCGGUGUAGCGGUGAAAUGCGUAGAGAUCGGGAGGAAUACCAGUGGCGAAGGCGGCCUUCUGGACUGACACUGACGCUGAGGUGCGAAAGCGUGGGUAGCAAACAGGAUUAGAUACCCUAGUAUC
RNAcentral lists this ribosomal RNA (462 nucleotides) under Vreelandella stevensii. RNAcentral describes it as "partial 16S ribosomal RNA". It matches the Rfam family "Bacterial small subunit ribosomal RNA", at positions 339 to 794 of the family's 1533-position model. The record is from RNAcentral. Lineage: Bacteria; Pseudomonadati; Pseudomonadota; Gammaproteobacteria; Oceanospirillales; Halomonadaceae.